Danio aesculapii is the source of this 357-nucleotide long non-coding RNA. RefSeq lists it as uncharacterized. The transcript is spliced from 4 exons. The record is from RefSeq and is a predicted model, not a curated record. Lineage: Eukaryota; Metazoa; Chordata; Actinopteri; Cypriniformes; Danionidae.
AUCAUCUCCUAAGACCAUUUGCGGAUCGCACAAUCCCUCCUCACCUCUGGAGAUAGAUGGACACUUUUGUCUGUACGUGCGUGUCGUUGAUGGGAAUGGGAACACAGCGCUCACCUGUGGAGAGAGAGGCAGACCAGCUCACUGGGGGUUUGACCCCUGACCUUCAGUGGCCAGACCAUCCCUGACAGUGACAGGAGGGAAAUCUCUCGGGAAGCAGACGGCAGAAUGACAAACAGAAAGGAUGGAUCUAAUGAGGCUUCUCCGUUUCCUUCCACACACUCGCACGGAACGAGAACAAGGUAUGAUUGGUACCCAGUGCAGAGCCCUCUGCUGUGGUGAUAGAUGAGGAAAAUAAAC